This 293-nucleotide unclassified non-coding RNA is filed under the name Hevea brasiliensis (rubber tree). The record is from RNAcentral. Lineage: Eukaryota; Viridiplantae; Streptophyta; Magnoliopsida; Malpighiales; Euphorbiaceae.
AUCUUGUCCACCGCAUCCUGCACUGAGUUCAGUAAUAGAGCUCAAUGAUAAAUACAAGAAUGAAACAUACAUCAUUUUCAUCAGCUUGACUCGUAAAAUCUAGAUUCUGAAAGUAUUGCUGAUCUUGAGCUGACAUGUUCUCAUUGCACAAUUGCUCAAUAUCGUUGUUAUUACCAAAUUAUAUUAUGAAAAACAUAUACUGCAGACCAAAUGCCAGAAACAUAAGAAAUAAAUCAAGCUGAAAAUAAAUCUAGAUUUGAAAAGUAAGACCUUGCAUUGCUUAUCUUGGGCUG